UACGUAAGGAGCAAGCGUUGUCCGGAUUUACUGGGCGUAAAGAGCUCGUAGGCGGCCGAUCAGGUCUCGCGUAAAAUCCCCCGGCUCAACCGGGGAGAGUCGCGGGAAACCGACCGGCUUGAGGACAGAAAAGGAAAGUGGAAUUCCCGGUGUAGCGGUGAAAUGCGUAGAUAUCGGGAGGAAUACCAGUGGUGAAGACGGCUUUCUGGUCUGUUUCUGACGCUGAGGAGCGAAAGCCAGGGGAGCGAACCGGAUUAGAUACCCGGGUAGUCCUGGCCGUAAACGAUGGAUACUAGGUGUGGGAGGUUCGACCCCUUCCGUGCCGCAGCUAACGCAUUAAGUAUCCCGCCUGGGGAGUACGGCCGCAAGGUUGAA
RNAcentral lists this ribosomal RNA (375 nucleotides) under uncultured bacterium. RNAcentral describes it as "bacterial SSU rRNA". It matches the Rfam family "Bacterial small subunit ribosomal RNA", at positions 524 to 898 of the family's 1533-position model. The record is from RNAcentral.